This 465-nucleotide ribosomal RNA is filed under the name uncultured Glomus. Its description in RNAcentral is "SSU rRNA". It matches the Rfam family "Eukaryotic small subunit ribosomal RNA", at positions 569 to 1039 of the family's 1831-position model. Lineage: Eukaryota; Fungi; Glomeromycota; Glomeromycetes; Glomerales; Glomeraceae. The record is from RNAcentral.
AGCAGCCGCGGUAAUUCCAGCUCCAAUAGCGUAUAUUAAAGUUGUUGCAGUUAAAAAGCUCGUAGUUGAAUUUCGGGGUUAGCAAGUUGGUCGUGCCUCUGGUAUGCACUGGCUUUGCUGAUUCCUCCUUCUUGAAGAACUGUGAUGCUAUUAAUUUGGUGUUGCAGGGAAACAGGACUGUUACUUUGAAAAAUUAGAGUGUUUAAAGCAGGCUAACGCUUGAAUACAUUAGCAUGGAAUAAUGAAAUAGGACGUUUGAUCCUAUUUUGUUGGUUUCUAGGAUUGACGUAAUGAUUAAUAGGGAUAGUUGGGGGCAUUAGUAUUCAAUUGUCAGAGGUGAAAUUCUUGGAUUUAUUGAAGACUAACUACUGCGAAAGCAUUUGCCAAGGAUGUUUUCAUUAAUCAAGAACGAAAGUUAGGGGAUCGAAGACGAUCAGAUACCGUCGUAGUCUUAACCAUAAACUA